RNAcentral lists this ribosomal RNA (243 nucleotides) under uncultured bacterium. Its description in RNAcentral is "partial 16S ribosomal RNA". It matches the Rfam family "Bacterial small subunit ribosomal RNA", at positions 774 to 1016 of the family's 1533-position model. The record is from RNAcentral.
AGGAUUAGAUACUCUGGUAGUCCACGCCGUAAACGAUGUCUACUAGCCGUUGGGACUCUUGAAGUCUUAGUGGCGCAGCUAACGCACUAAGUAGACCGCCUGGGGAGUACGGCCGCAAGGUUAAAACUCAAAUGAAUUGACGGGGGCCCGCACAAGCGGUGGAGCAUGUGGUUUAAUUCGACGCAACGCGAAGAACCUUACCUGGCCUUGACAUGCAGAGAACUUUCCAGAGAUGGAUUGGUG